UGUGUCAAGUACAACACUUUUUUCAGCAGAUUCAUCAUGUCACAAGAGGGAUCCGCCCAGUAUCAAGGAUGAUGUUUGAGAUUGCCCUACUGGUCGCUGAGGCUGCUGACUUCCCCAGGAUCUGCCAUUUAUGUCAAGGAGCGGCAGCCAGAAGAUGUGUUAAAGCACGUUCUUCAGCGUCUCAGGUAAGGGCCGGAGCGAGCGUGUAAGUGGCAAGAGUGUGUGAGAGCCUGUGGCUGUGUCUGUCUGUGUCUGCUCGUCUCUGCAUGUGUGAGCACAUGCUGACUGGAUUUAACCUUGUGUAUAUGACUUUUGCUUUUCAGGUUUUGCAACUC
This is a non-coding RNA of Zonotrichia albicollis (white-throated sparrow), 335 nucleotides long. The record is from RefSeq and is a predicted model, not a curated record. NCBI's taxonomy places the organism in Eukaryota, Metazoa, Chordata, Aves, Passeriformes, Passerellidae.